UACGGAGGGGGCUAGCGUUGUUCGGAAUUACUGGGCGUAAAGCGCACGUAGGCGGCUUUGUAAGUUAGAGGUGAAAGCCCGGGGCUCAACCCCGGAAUCGCCUUUAAGACUGCAUCGCUUGAAUCCGGGAGAGGUGAGUGGAAUUCCGAGUGUAGAGGUGAAAUUCGUAGAUAUUCGGAAGAACACCAGUGGCGAAGGCGGCUCACUGGACCGGCAUUGACGCUGAGGUGCGAAAGCGUGGGGAGCAAACAGG
This 253-nucleotide ribosomal RNA is filed under the name uncultured bacterium. RNAcentral's name for it is "partial 16S ribosomal RNA". It matches the Rfam family "Bacterial small subunit ribosomal RNA", at positions 524 to 776 of the family's 1533-position model. The record is from RNAcentral.